This 560-nucleotide long non-coding RNA is filed under the name Homo sapiens (human). Its description in RNAcentral is "HSALNT0200025". Lineage: Eukaryota; Metazoa; Chordata; Mammalia; Primates; Hominidae. The record is from RNAcentral.
CAGAGAUAUCUGAUGUGAAAGGCUGCCUGCUGGCUAUCGGCAUCUUAAAAAUGUUUACGUGUGAAAUCACCAGACCAUUAUCUUUCUCCCACACGAGGCCCAGCUUUAACAAUCAGCCAGUUGCCCUCUGAUAUUGACUUUCUUUCUUCCUGCUGGUUUGGCUGACAGUAAAUGCCUGCUGGGAAGGCUUUCGCCCGCCUCUGGAGAGCAGAGACCCUGCUGCACCCCUUAUCCGUUGAUAUGGAUACAUCAAUGGGGUCAUGGGAGCGAAAGGACCACAUCUGUAACUUUGAAACAUCCAAGAGACCUCAAGGAUGCAGUCUUAAGACCCUCCUUUGCAAAGGGUCCUGCCUCAUACCCUGAGGGAAGGAAGGCUUCGGUAAAAACCCAAGCAGACUGGGUUAGGAGAGCUUCCUGACAGCUGUACACAUGGAGGCUCCUGGAGGGCUGGCACACCCAGAGGGGGCUUGGAAACUGCGUGCCCCUUCUCCCAAACCUCACCCUACACAUCUCUUUCUCUGCAUCCUUUGCAAUAUCCUUUAUAAUAAACUGGUAAACAU